Molecule: long non-coding RNA, 357 nt
Organism: Melitaea cinxia (Glanville fritillary)
Lineage: Eukaryota; Metazoa; Arthropoda; Insecta; Lepidoptera; Nymphalidae
Exons: 2
Source: RefSeq, a predicted model, not a curated record
AAUCCCGGUACGCCAGUGGCGGCGGCGGUGUGGCGGACCGCGGACGGCGCGGGCGCGCUACCCGUGAUGGCAGACCGGGAUCUACGCCUAUGGUCUAUAUCGAUAUUACCUGUCAGUGCGUUCGUACAACUUAAACGUCCGUGUGUUUCGUAUAAACUUUAUGCGUCGUGAAUUAUUUACAAUCGAAUGUAGUUUGAUGGAUGAACACUUCACAUUAUACGGUUUAUAAUGCAGUUACGAUGUUCAUUUUGAUCAAACAGUAUAAGGUUUAUUUUAGUCGGUUUUUGACGUCAUCAAGUUUAGUGUAGUAAAAAAAAAUCUUCAAAAAUGAUGCAAGGAUUGUUGGAUUCGCUGUAC